Molecule: ribosomal RNA, 495 nt
Filed under: uncultured bacterium
Lineage: Bacteria
Description: partial 16S ribosomal RNA
Rfam family: Bacterial small subunit ribosomal RNA
Source: RNAcentral
GACGAAUGCUGGCGGCGUGCCUAAUACAUGCCAGUAGAACGCUGAAGGAGGAGCUUGCUUCUCGGGAUGAGUUGCGAACGGGUGAGUAACGCGUAGGUAACCUGCCUGGUAGCGGGGGAUAACUAUUGGAAACGAUAGCUAAUACCGCAUAAUAGUAGAUGUUGCAUGACAUUUGCUUAAAAGGUGCAAUUGCAUCACUACCAGAUGGACCUUCGUUUUAUUAGCUAGUUGGUGGGGGAACGGCUCACCAAGGCGACGAUACAUGGCCGACCCGAGAGGGGCGUUGGGCCACACUGGGACUGAGACACGGCCCAGACUCCUACGGGAGGCAGCAGUGGGGAAUUUUGGGCAAUGGAGGGAAGCCUGACCCAGCAACGCCGCGGGUGUGAAGAAGGCUUUCGGGUGGUAAAGCACUGUUGUACGGGAAGAAAGCGUGUGGGAGAAGAAAUUUCGUGCUUUACGGGAACUUAACAAAAAAGAGCGGCUAAAUAAGUG